RNAcentral lists this long non-coding RNA (1231 nucleotides) under Malus domestica (apple). Its description in RNAcentral is "long non-coding RNA (MDOM_LNC003703)". The record is from RNAcentral. Lineage: Eukaryota; Viridiplantae; Streptophyta; Magnoliopsida; Rosales; Rosaceae.
GGUUCAUAAUCACCCUUUAAUUAAUUAACACUUUAACUAAUUAAAUUGAAUGCAACAUUUUCAUUUGGUUUUUUGUAUCCAUAAAAUUGAUUUAAAUGGAGCUAAACAAAAUGAAAAUCCAAUUCUCAUUUAAAGAGACAAAACAAUUUUGUUCUCUAUCUAAUUUGGGCCAAUAUGCAAUAACCACAACUUUUGGGCUAUAUUGCAAAACUUUUGGGGUCACUUUGUAAAGACACAAAAGUCCACUACUUCAUGUAAUUACACUAGAACCCAAAAUUUAAUCAAUGCAAAAACUUCAUUAAAGGAGCAAAACAAUUUGUCCUUUAGCGUUUUUGGACCUAAACGUAAAAACGUAAACUUUUGGGCCAAAGUGCAAAUACACAAAAGUAUCAAAACUUUAUGUAAUUGCAUAAAAGGCCCCAAAAGAACCCUAAUAAUAGGGUGGCCGGUUUUGGAGUGUUAGUCCACAAAAAUUUUGAAAAAUUUUUCAACAAAUUCAUAAAGCCUUGCAAGUGGUUUGUGACAUAAAUACAUGCAAGUGGUGUGUAAGGUGUGUAAGGUGUGUAAGUCUUACACACCCAUCACAAUUUCUAUCACCUUUCAAAAAAAAUAAAAAUGUUUUGAUGAUAGAUAUUUCACACCAAUCAACACAAAACAAAGACUUUAUGAAAUUAAUCAAAACUUUGAAUCAAAACACCAAACUUUUUGUUCUUGGCAAAAAUGUCAAGAACAAUGAAGAACAUUCAUGAAAAACCCAAAAUUUUUCCAUGAACAUUUUUCACCCAAAAACAUUCCAAAACCAUUCAAACUUAAGGGAAAUAACAUCUAACCAAACUAGGGUACAUAGGGGUUCCAAAAGUCACUUGAAAACACUUUUAACAAGUCAAACAAGAACCCAAAAAUCCACCCUUUGUAUUUGGCCGAAAAUUCCCAAAGUCAUGGCACCAAAUUUUAGCUCCAAUAUUCAUGCUCAUAUGAACUACAUCUACAACAUUUGAGAUGUCAAAUUUUCUAGCAAAAUUUACAUUCAAAAAACAAGAAUAAAGCUUGUAACAUAUUACAACUUUUAAAUCACAAACUAUGAACUACAAAACCCAAAAGGAUUCACCAACUACUAGACCUAGGCUCUAAUACCACUUGAAGGAAAAUUUUGUGAAAAACAUGUUCAUUUAAGCAACAUCUAUAAGCAUGCAAUUAACAAUUAAAGGCGGAAUCAUGCUAGCAUGCACUU